UACGAAGGGUGCAAGCGUUACUCGGAAUUACUGGGCGUAAAGCGUGCGUAGGUGGUUUGUUAAGUCUGAUGUGAAAGCCCUGGGCUCAACCUGGGAAUUGCAUUGGAUACUGGCAGGCUAGAGUGCGGUAGAGGAUGGCGGAAUUCCCGGUGUAGCAGUGAAAUGCGUAGAUAUCACUCGGAAGGCCAACGGCGAAGGCAGGUAACUGGUACGCAACUGACGCUGAGGCACGAAAGCGUGGGGAGCAAACGGG
This 253-nucleotide ribosomal RNA is filed under the name uncultured bacterium. RNAcentral's name for it is "partial 16S ribosomal RNA". It matches the Rfam family "Bacterial small subunit ribosomal RNA", at positions 524 to 776 of the family's 1533-position model. The record is from RNAcentral.